Molecule: long non-coding RNA, 286 nt
Filed under: Physcomitrium patens
Lineage: Eukaryota; Viridiplantae; Streptophyta; Bryopsida; Funariales; Funariaceae
Description: long non-coding RNA (PPAT_LNC009101)
Source: RNAcentral
AAUGCCUCCGACAUUUGGUGAUUUGGCCACUUACUAAGUAUAUCAGCCACUCGACCAUAGUACGAUUCCACUGCCUCCCCUAGGAUCAUUUUGUUGUUCAUUAAUCUCUCUCAAAGGCGGUCUUCAAAAUCAAUUGGCCGAAAAUGAGAUAAAAAUGUAUUCUUCAAUGCUUCUCAAUUCGAGAAUUGACCCACUGGUUGACAAUUGUACCAUUCAAACGCCAUGUCUUUUAAGGUCAAUGGCAGCCAUCGCAACCAAAUAUCUUCAGUUCUGCCAUUAUUAGCUA